Non-coding RNA from Salmo salar (Atlantic salmon), 55 nucleotides. The record is from Rfam. NCBI's taxonomy places the organism in Eukaryota, Metazoa, Chordata, Actinopteri, Salmoniformes, Salmonidae.
UGAAUGCACUAAUUGUAUGUCGCUCUGGAUAAGAGUGUCUGCUAAAUGACUAAAA